RNAcentral lists this ribosomal RNA (372 nucleotides) under uncultured bacterium. RNAcentral describes it as "bacterial SSU rRNA". It matches the Rfam family "Bacterial small subunit ribosomal RNA", at positions 524 to 898 of the family's 1533-position model. The record is from RNAcentral.
UACGUAGGGGGCAAGCGUUAUCCGGAUUCAUUGGGCGUAAAGCGCGCGUAGGCGGCCUGUUAGGUCGGGAGUCAAAUCCCGGGGCUCAACCCCGGCUCGCUCCCGAUACCGGCAGGCUUGAGUCUGGUAGGGGAAGGCGGAAUUCCCAGUGUAGCGGUGGAAUGCGCAGAUAUUGGGAAGAACACCGGUGGCGAAGGCGGCCUUCUGGGCCACGACUGACGCUGAGGCGCGAAAGCUAGGGGAGCGAACAGGAUUAGAUACCCUGGUAGUCCUAGCCGUAAACGAUGGACACUAGGUGUGGGAGGAAUCUCCUUCCGUGCCGCAGCUAACGCAUUAAGUGUCCCGCCUGGGGAGUACGGCCGCAAGGCUAAA